This 104-nucleotide ribosomal RNA is filed under the name Ixodes simplex. RNAcentral's name for it is "partial small rRNA subunit". Lineage: Eukaryota; Metazoa; Arthropoda; Arachnida; Ixodida; Ixodidae. The record is from RNAcentral.
UAAUUAAAAUAUAGUUUUUUAAAAAAUUUUUUAAAUUUUCUUUAUAUUAUUUAUAUGUUAAUUUUAAGUAAAAUAGAAGAAAUAUUUAUGAUUUUAAUAAUAUU